This 580-nucleotide ribosomal RNA is filed under the name uncultured bacterium. RNAcentral describes it as "bacterial SSU rRNA". It matches the Rfam family "Bacterial small subunit ribosomal RNA", at positions 337 to 907 of the family's 1533-position model. The record is from RNAcentral.
UCCUACGGGAGGCAGCAGUAGGGAAUCUUCCGCAAUGGACGAAAGUCUGACGGAGCAACGCCGCGUGAGUGAUGAAGGCUUUCGGGUCGUAAAACUCUGUUGUUAGGGAAGAACAAGUGCUAGUUGAAUAAGCUGGCACCUUGACGGUACCUAACCAGAAAGCCACGGCUAACUACGUGCCAGCAGCCGCGGUAAUACGUAGGUGGCAAGCGUUGUCCGGAAUUAUUGGGCGUAAAGCGCUCGCAGGCGGUCUUUUAAGUCUGAUGUGAAAGCCCACGGCUUAACCGUGGAGGGUCAUUGGAAACUGGAGGACUUGAGUACAGAAGAGGAAAGUGGAAUUCCACGUGUAGCGGUGAAAUGCGUAGAGAUGUGGAGGAACACCAGUGGCGAAGGCGACUCUCUGGUCUGUAACUGACGCUGAGGAGCGAAAGCGUGGGUAGCGAACAGGAUUAGAUACCCUGGUAGUCCACGCCGUAAACGAUGAGUGCUAAGUGUUAGAGGGUUUCCGCCCUUUAGUGCUGAAGCUAACGCAUUAAGCACUCCGCCUGGGGAGUACGGCCGCAAGGCUGAAACUCAAAGG